This 317-nucleotide unclassified non-coding RNA is filed under the name fungal sp. RNAcentral describes it as "partial internal transcribed spacer region". The stretch from base 1 to 46 matches the Rfam family "Eukaryotic small subunit ribosomal RNA", at positions 1786 to 1831 of the family's 1831-position model. The record is from RNAcentral. Lineage: Eukaryota; Fungi.
AAGUCGUAACAAGGUUUCCGUAGGUGAACCUGCGGAAGGAUCAUUAACACUAUUUUACAAAAACAAAUUAUGUGCCGUGAGUAGCAAUGCUCUCGUCACUGUUUGUUUUUCCAAACCAACUACCCAAACUUUAUGAAAGUGCUGGUUGAUUUUCACAUUUAUCCGUCAAAAAGAUAAAUGAAAAAAAAUCACUUUUUCACUUCUUUUUCUUUAUUAACCCCAAACUCUUUCAUUGCUAAUGCAAAUGACAAUUACAAAAACUAAAUAACUACUUUAACGUAACCAAACAACUCUUAGCAACGGAUAUCUUGGCUCUC